UACAGAGGUCCCAAGCGUUGUUCGGAUUCAUUGGGCGUAAGGGGUGCGUAGGCGGCGCGGUAAGUCGGGUGUGAAAUCUCGGGGCUUAACUCCGAAACUGCAUUCGAUACUGCCGUGCUUGAGGACUGGAGAGGAGACUGGAAUUUACGGUGUAGCGGUGAAAUGCGUAGAUAUCGUAAGGAAGACCAGUGGCGAAGGCGGGUCUCUGGACAGUUCCUGACGCUGAGGCACGAAGGCCAGGGGAGCAAACAGG
RNAcentral lists this ribosomal RNA (253 nucleotides) under uncultured bacterium. RNAcentral describes it as "partial 16S ribosomal RNA". It matches the Rfam family "Bacterial small subunit ribosomal RNA", at positions 524 to 776 of the family's 1533-position model. The record is from RNAcentral.